RNAcentral lists this transfer RNA (73 nucleotides) under Deltaproteobacteria bacterium. RNAcentral describes it as "tRNA-Ala". It matches the Rfam family "tRNA". From Rfam's summary of the family: Transfer RNA (tRNA) molecules are approximately 80 nucleotides in length. Their secondary structure includes four short double-helical elements and three loops (D, anti-codon, and T loops). Lineage: Bacteria; Pseudomonadati; Myxococcota; Myxococcia. The record is from RNAcentral. RNAcentral also lists the same sequence under 1 other name.
GGGCCCAUCGUCCAAUGGCAAGACGCCGCGCUUGCAACGCGUGAGAUCGGGGUUCGAAUCCCCGUGUGGUCCA